GAUGAACGCUGGCGGCGUGCUUAACACAUGCAAGUCGAACGGGGAACACGGAGCUUGCUCUGUGGGAUCAGUGGCGAACGGGUGAGUAACACGUGAGCAACCUGCCCCUGACUCUGGGAUAAGCGCUGGAAACGGCGUCUAAUACUGGAUAUGUGACGUGACCGCAUGGUCUGCGUUUGGAAAGAUUUUUCGGUUGGGGAUGGGCUCGCGGCCUAUCAGCUUGUUGGUGAGGUAAUGGCUCACCAAGGCGUCGACGGGUAGCCGGCCUGAGAGGGUGACCGGCCACACUGGGACUGAGACACGGCCCAGACUCCUACGGGAGGCAGCGGUGGGGAAUAUUGCACAAUGGGCGCAAGCCUGAUGCAGCAACGCCGCGUGGGGGAUGACGGCCUUCGGGUUGUAAACCUCUUUUAGCAGGGAAGAAGCGAAAGUGACGGUACCUGCAGAAAAAGCGCCGGCUAACUACGUG
RNAcentral lists this ribosomal RNA (469 nucleotides) under uncultured bacterium. RNAcentral's name for it is "partial 16S ribosomal RNA". It matches the Rfam family "Bacterial small subunit ribosomal RNA", at positions 28 to 507 of the family's 1533-position model. The record is from RNAcentral.